Molecule: ribosomal RNA, 468 nt
Filed under: uncultured bacterium
Lineage: Bacteria
Description: partial 16S ribosomal RNA
Rfam family: Bacterial small subunit ribosomal RNA
Source: RNAcentral
GAUGAACGCUGGCGGCGUGCUUAACACAUGCAAGUCGAACGGAAAGGCCCAAGCUUGCUUGGGUACUCGAGUGGCGAACGGGUGAGUAACACGUGGGUGAUCUGCCCUGCACUUCGGGAUAAGCCUGGGAAACUGGGUCUAAUACCGGAUAGGACGAUGGUUUGGAUGCCAUUGUGGAAAGUUUUUUCGGUGUGGGAUGAGCUCGCGGCCUAUCAGCUUGUUGGUGGGGUAAUGGCCUACCAAGGCGUCGACGGGUAGCCGGCCUGAGAGGGUGUACGGCCACAUUGGGACUGAGAUACGGGCCAGACUCCGACGGGAGGCAGCAGUGGGGAAUAUUGCACAAUGGGCGCAAGCCUGAUGCAGCGACGCCGCGUGGGGGAUGACGGCCUUCGGGUUGUAAACUCCUUUCGCUAGGGACGAAGCGUUUUUGUGACGGUACCUGGAGAAGAAGCACCGGCUAACUACGUG